Molecule: ribosomal RNA, 588 nt
Filed under: uncultured bacterium
Lineage: Bacteria
Description: bacterial SSU rRNA
Rfam family: Bacterial small subunit ribosomal RNA
Source: RNAcentral
CCUACGGGAGGCAGCAGUGGGGAAUCUUGCGCAAUGGGGGAAACCUUGACGCAGCAACGCCGCGUGGGUGAUGAAGGCCUUCGGGUCGUAAAGCCCUGUCAGGUGGGAAGAAACAUGUCGGUGCUAAUAUCACCGAUGUUUGACGGUACCGCCGGAGGAAGCACCGGCUAACUCCGUGCCAGCAGCCGCGGUAAUACGGAGGGUGCAAGCGUUGUUCGGAAUUACUGGGCUUAAAGGGCGCGUAGGUGGUGGCAUAAGUCCGAGGUGGAAGGCUAAGGCUUAACCUUAGAAUUGCCUUGGAAACUGUAUCACUUGAGUCAGCGAGGGGAUGGCGGAAUUCCAGGCGUAGCGGUGAAAUGCGUAGAUAUCUGGAGGAAGGCCGGUGGCGAAGGCGGCCAUCUGGCGCUGAACUGACACUGAGGCGCGAAAGCGUGGGGAGCAAACAGGAUUAGAUACCCCGGUAGUCCUAGCCGUAAACGAUGAACACUAGAUGUUGGUGGUAUCAACCCCGCCAGUGUCGUAGCUAACGCAUUAAGUGUUCCGCCCGGGGAGUACGGCCGCAAGGCUAAAACUCAAAGGAAUUGACGG